This is a long non-coding RNA of Entelurus aequoreus (snake pipefish), 997 nucleotides long. RefSeq lists it as uncharacterized. The transcript has 5 exons. The record is from RefSeq and is a predicted model, not a curated record. Lineage: Eukaryota; Metazoa; Chordata; Actinopteri; Syngnathiformes; Syngnathidae.
CAAUUUCAGUAGUAUAUGUGCAAAGAUUUCAGUUAUGUGUAUGAGCGCAUCUUACCAUUGUGUAUACGAGCAUUUUACCACUACGUGUAAGAGCAUCUUACUAGUGUGUGUGAGCGAUGUUGCAUUCCGGUUCCGGUAUAAUCCCCGCCCCUUUUCAGACAAGUUUAUUUUUAUUUUUUUUAAAGCCAAGUUGUGGACAAAAUGUCUGCCGACAAGUAGCUUAACCGAGGCGGGAGCUCCACUUCAUAAUUUGAGGGCUUCAGCGGAGAAUAUAAGAACACUUUCAAUGCAACAAGGGUCGGACUGCCGCCAUGGGUCUCCCCCACAGGACGCGGCACCUGAGCGGCCACACAGCGGUGCCUUUCUCCUCCCGACAGCCGCAGCCUGGAGCACUCGUUCCAUUGCGAGUUUGCACCGCACACAUGCAACGUUUCAGUUCAUGGACAUCGGGGCAAAAGGAGGAAAAGAGUCACCACACAGCUGCAUGACCAUUUCAACAAGGACGGAAUAAACAACCUCUGGAUUCAUGGAACUUCUUUGCACACACAGGGGCGCUACCUUGAGGAGCCAUGAAAGCGCUGACCUAUAAACAAAGCCAGGAGGACACAAACAGCGCAGACAGCCAACGGCAGCUAGAAGCGGUGCAGCCCCAUGGUCAGUGUGCCGCACUGGGAGAGCUGCUCCACUUUCUAUUCUAGUUUGUGUCCGCCAGCGUCCCUGCUGACACGCUGGAGCGCAAACACACCAGCUGGAGUGAAGACCUUCUCUUCUUAAUCUGCACACCAGCGGUCCCCCAUCAGGUGACCCACUGGAGGCUUUCUUCACGUCACACACUCCUGCUGAACAGCAUCUUUGUUCCAGAAGAGAGGAGAUCUUUUGCACCACACAUUUGCAGCUGACUAUCGCCCCUUCCUGGUUAGAGGCAGCACUGAUGGUGCAGGGAAGCACCAGGGGCCGUAUUUAUCAAGCUUCUUAGAAUUACUCCUAAGAAGUCUGC